This 722-nucleotide ribosomal RNA is filed under the name uncultured bacterium. RNAcentral describes it as "bacterial SSU rRNA". It matches the Rfam family "Bacterial small subunit ribosomal RNA", at positions 28 to 793 of the family's 1533-position model. The record is from RNAcentral.
AACGAACGCUGGCGGCAGGCCUAAAACAUGCAAGUCGAACGAACCUUCGGGUUAGUGGCGCACGGGUGAGUAACACGUGGGAACAUACCCUUCACUGCGGAACAACGUCGGGAAACUGACGCUAAUACCGCAUAAUGACUCCGGUCCAAAGAUUUAUCGGUGAAGGAUUGGCCCGCGCCUGAUUAGGUAGUUGGUGGGGUAAUGGCCUACCAAGCCUACGAUCAGUAGCUGGUCUGAGAGGAUGAUCAGCCACACUGGGACUGAGACACGGCCCAGACUCCUACGGGAGGCAGCAGUUAGGAAUAUUGGACAAUGGAGGAAACUCUGAUCCAGCCAUGCCGCGUGUGUGAUGAAGGCCUUAGGGUUGUAAAGCACUUUCGUCCGCGAAGAUAAUGACAGUACCGGAAGAAGAAGCUCCGGCUAAAUUCGUGCCAGCAGACGCGGUAAUACGAAUGGAGCGAGCGUUGUCGGAAUCACUGGGCGUAAAGCGUGCGCAGGUGGUCGUGAAAGUUAGGAGUGAAAGCCCAGGGCUUAACCUUGGAAUUGCUUUUAAAACUCCACGACUAGAGUACUGGAGGGGGUUUCGGCGGAAAUUUCCGAGUGUAGCAGUGAAAUGCGUAGAUAUUCGAAGGAACACCGAUGGCGUAGGCAGCCAACUGGACAGUAACUGACACUCAUGCACGAAAGUGUGGGGAGCAAACAGGAUUAGAUACCCUGGGUAG